CAGCCGCCGCGGUAAAACCAGCAGCCCAAGUGGUGGUCGCGAUUAUUGGGCCUAAAGCGCUCGUAGCCGGGCCGGUAAGUCCCUUGUGAAAUCGGACGGCCUAACCGUUCGGCGUGCAAGGGAUACUGUCGGUCUUGAGGCCGGGAGACGUCCGAGGUACUCCGGGGGUAGCGGUGAAAUGUUCUGAUCCUCGGGGGACCACCGGUGGCGAAGGCGUUCGACGAGAACGGGCCUGACGGUGAGGGGCGAAGGCUAGGGGAGCAAACGGGAUUAGAUACCCGUGUAGUCCCUGUCUCUUAUA
RNAcentral lists this ribosomal RNA (301 nucleotides) under uncultured bacterium. RNAcentral describes it as "partial 16S ribosomal RNA". It matches the Rfam family "Archaeal small subunit ribosomal RNA", at positions 459 to 759 of the family's 1478-position model. The record is from RNAcentral.